CAGCCGCCGCGGUAAUGCGUAGGGUGCAAGCGUUAAUCGGAGUUACUGGGCGUAAAGCGUGCGCAGGCGGUCCGUUAAGACAGAUGUGAAAUCCCCGGGCUCAACCUGGGAACUGCAUCUUAUACUGCGUAGCUGGAGUGCAGUAGAGGGUAGUGGAAUUUCCGGUGUAGCGGUGAAAUGCGUAGAUAUCGGAAGGAACACCAGUGGCGAAGGCGGCUACCUGGACUGACACUAACACUGAGGCGCGAAAGCGUGGGGAGCAAACAGGAUUAGAUACCCCCGUAGUCCCUGUCUCUUAUAC
Molecule: ribosomal RNA, 301 nt
Filed under: uncultured bacterium
Lineage: Bacteria
Description: partial 16S ribosomal RNA
Rfam family: Bacterial small subunit ribosomal RNA
Source: RNAcentral